ACUCCUACGGGAGGCAGCAGUGGGGAAUAUUGGACAAUGGGCGGAAGCCUGAUCCAGCAACGCCGCGUGAGGGAUGACGGCCUUCGGGUUGUAAACCUCUUUCACCGAUGGCGGAAGCCGUCCCUUUUUGGGGGUGGUGUACGGUAGUCGGAGAAGAAGCACCGGCCAACUACGUGCCAGCAGCCGCGGUAAUACGUAGGGUGCGAGCGUUGUCCGGAAUUAUUGGGCGUAAAGGGCUCGUAGGCGGUCUGUUGCGUCGGG
RNAcentral lists this ribosomal RNA (261 nucleotides) under uncultured bacterium. RNAcentral's name for it is "partial 16S ribosomal RNA". It matches the Rfam family "Bacterial small subunit ribosomal RNA", at positions 335 to 592 of the family's 1533-position model. The record is from RNAcentral.